GCAUAUCAAUAAGCGGAGGAAAAGAAACCAACAGGGAUUACCUCAGUAACGGCGAGUGAAGCGGUAACAGCUCAAAUUUGAAAUCUGGUCCCCUCUGGGGGCCCGAGUUGUAAUUUGAAGAGGAUGCUUUUGGCGAGGCGCCUUCCGAGUGCCCUGGAACGGGACGCCACAGAGGGUGAGAGCCCCGUAUGGUAGGACGCCGAGCCUCUGUAAAGCUCCUUCGACGAGUCGAGUAGUUUGGGAAUGCUGCUCAAAAUGGGAGGUAAACCCCUUCUAAAGCUAAAUAUUGGCCAGAGACCGAUAGCGCACAAGUAGAGUGAUCGAAAGAUGAAAAGCACUUUGAAAAGAGAGUUAAACAGCACGUGAAAUUGUUGAAAGGGAAGCGCUUGCGACCAGACUUGCGCCCGUCGGAUCAACCGUCCCUCGUGGGCGGCGCACUCCGGCGGGCUCAGGCCAGCAUCAGUUUUCCUGGGGGGAGAAAGGCGGUGGGAAUGUAGCUCCUCGGAGUGUUAUAGCCCGCCGCGUAAUGCCCCCGGGGGGACUGAGGACCGCGCGAAAGCAAGGAUGCUGGCGUAAUGGUCGUCAGCGACCCGUCUUGAAACACGGACCAAGGAGUCGUCCUAAUAUGCGAGUGUACGGGUGUAAAACCCCUGCGCGUAAUGAAAGUGAACGGAGGUGAGAGCUUCGGCGCAUCAUCGACCGAUCCUGAUGUUCUCGGAUGGAUUUGAGUAAGAGCAUAUUGGGCCGGACCCGAAAGAAGGUGAACUAUGCCUGUAUAGGGUGAAGCCAGAGGAAACUCUGGUGGAGGCUCGCAGCGGUUCUGACGUGCAAAUCGAUCGUCAAAUAUGGGCAUGGGGGGCGAAAGACUAAUCGAACCUUCUAGUAGCUGGUUUCCGCCGAAGU
RNAcentral lists this ribosomal RNA (903 nucleotides) under Wardomyces anomalus. Its description in RNAcentral is "LSU rRNA". It matches the Rfam family "Eukaryotic large subunit ribosomal RNA", at positions 38 to 967 of the family's 3401-position model. The record is from RNAcentral. Lineage: Eukaryota; Fungi; Ascomycota; Sordariomycetes; Microascales; Microascaceae.